GAUGAACGCUGGCGGCGUGCCUAAUACAUGCAAGUCGAGCGAACAGAUGAGGAGCUUGCUCCUCUGACGUUAGCGGCGGACGGGUGAGUAACACGUGGAUAACCUACCUAUAAGACUGGGAUAACUUCGGGAAACCGGAGCUAAUACCGGAUAAUAUUUUGAACCGCAUGGUUCAAUAGUGAAAGACGGUUUUGCUGUCACUUAUAGAUGGAUCCGCGCCGCAUUAGCUAGUUGGUAAGGUAACGGCUUACCAAGGCAACGAUGCGUAGCCGACCUGAGAGGGUGAUCGGCCACACUGGAACUGAGGCACGGUCCUGACUCCUACGGGAGGCAGCAGUAGGGAAUCUUCCGCAAUGGGCGAAAGCCUGACGGAGCAACGCCGCGUGAGUGAUGAAGGUCUUCGGAUCGUAAAACUCUGUUAUUAGGGAAGAACAAAUGUGUAAGUAACUAUGCACGUCUUGACGGUACCUAAUCAGAAAGCCACGGCUAACUACGUG
RNAcentral lists this ribosomal RNA (497 nucleotides) under uncultured bacterium. RNAcentral's name for it is "partial 16S ribosomal RNA". It matches the Rfam family "Bacterial small subunit ribosomal RNA", at positions 28 to 507 of the family's 1533-position model. The record is from RNAcentral.